RNAcentral lists this long non-coding RNA (436 nucleotides) under Homo sapiens (human). RNAcentral describes it as "HSALNT0354685". Lineage: Eukaryota; Metazoa; Chordata; Mammalia; Primates; Hominidae. The record is from RNAcentral.
ACUUUGAGAGGACUAUUCCUAAAAGCCAAAUUUAACAACACAUCCAGCCUCAGACUCAGGUCCCUGGACUUUGGGACUCAUUCUGCUCGACUUGAUCCCUGCUCUGCCCAUUGAUCACAUACACACGUUUACACCUGGCAGAAGAGGAAGAGGAGGCAUGAAGGAAUGGCCUCUUCAGAAUGGAGAAAAGCCUUCCCCAUGAGAACAUGCCUAAGACAGACUGCUGAAGAAGGCGGCAAAUGGAACAGCGCUGAAUCAGCCUGGUCAUCCCAGUCAAGCCUCCAGACAUGUAAGCACCCUCCUCUGAUCUGCAGAGCUGCCUGGCCCAAAUACUGUUGACCACUCUUGAGUAAGCCCCACCAAGAUCAGCUGAGAACAGUAGAACUGACCAGAUGACUCUAACCUCAUGAAUAAAUCCAAGUGUUUUUUUAUUUGC